ACUCCUACGGGAGGCAGCAGUGGGGAAUCUUGGACAAUGGGGGCAAACCCUGAUCCAGCCAUGCCGCGUGAGUGAUGAAGGCCUUAGGGUCGUAAAGCUCUUUCGCCUGUGAUGAUAAUGACAGUAGCAGGUAAAGAAACCCCGGCUAACUCCGUGCCAGCAGCCGCGGUAAUACGGAGGGGGUUAGCGUUGUUCGGAAUUACUGGGGCGUAAAGCGCGCGUAGGCGGAUUAGUCAGUUAGAGGUGAAAUCCCAGGGCUCAACCCUGGAACUGCCUUUAAUACUGCUAGUCUUGAGUUCGAGAGAGGUGAGUGGAAUUCCGAGUGUAGAGGUGAAAUUCGUAGAUAUUCGGAGGAACACCAGUGGCGAAGGCGGCUCACUGGCUCGAUACUGACGCUGAGGUGCGAAAGUGUGGGGAGCAAACAGGAUUAGAUACCCUGGUAGGAUAGCG
This 450-nucleotide ribosomal RNA is filed under the name uncultured bacterium. Its description in RNAcentral is "bacterial SSU rRNA". It matches the Rfam family "Bacterial small subunit ribosomal RNA", at positions 335 to 799 of the family's 1533-position model. The record is from RNAcentral.